GAUGAACGCUAGCGAUAGGCCUAACACAUGCAAGUCGAGGGGCAUCACAUGAAGUAGCAAUACGGAUGGUGGCGACCGGCGCACGGGUGAGUAACACGUAUGCAACCUGCCUUCAACAAGGGGAUAACCCGUUGAAAGACGGACUAAUACCCUAUAACACAGGGGUCCCGCAUGGGAAUAUUUGUUAAAGGACAACCGGUUGAAGAUGGGCAUGCGUUCCAUUAGCUAGUUGGCGGGUAACGGCCCACCAAGGCAACGAUGGAUAGGGGAACUGAGAGGUUUAUCCCCCACACUGGUACUGAGACACGGACCAGACUCCUACGGGAGGCAGCAGUGAGGAAUAUUGGUCAAUGGACGCAAGUCUGAACCAGCCACGUCGCGUGAAGGAAGCGGCCCUACGGGUUGUAAACUUCUUUUAUACGGGAAUAAAGUGCCCCACGCGUGGGGUUUUGCAAGUACCGUAUGAAUAAGGAUCGGCUAACUCCGUGCCAGCAGCCGCGGUAAUUCACAC
RNAcentral lists this ribosomal RNA (511 nucleotides) under uncultured bacterium. RNAcentral describes it as "bacterial SSU rRNA". It matches the Rfam family "Bacterial small subunit ribosomal RNA", at positions 28 to 530 of the family's 1533-position model. The record is from RNAcentral.